GGAAAAAUUCCUAAUGGAGAUGUGUUUGUGGGUGUUGAGGAGUGAGUCUUAAAUACUAUUUUGUGACUGUUGAUAUAGAACUUUUUUUUUUCAGCUUUGGAAGGGAGGAAGGCUGAGAGGCUAAAGAGAAAAGAUACUUUCCCAGCUGGGGAGGAAAGGCACAAUGUAAGAAGUAGAGAAUGAGUAAUACAUAUAGAAGCAAGAGAAACAAAAAGAAAAGAGAUCAAAGAUGGAGUUGCUAGAUGGAGGAUGCAGAGAGGUGAGCAGGAUUCUGAGACCAAGCCUCUGAGAGGACUUUGUAGUGUCAUGAAUUUCCCAGUUCUCAAGUUAUUCUAUUGAUAAUGGCAUGAUUUUCUCUCUGUCCAGUUUCACAGAGAGCUCAUUCCAACAAGUCUGCCCAAGUUGGUUAUACAACUGUGAUGUUGAGAGUCUGGUACUAGGGCCUGCUGAAGUGAUGAAAGAGAAUCUUUCCUGUCAAUCUUGUAGACCAGCCUGGAAGACAGAGCAGAGGCAAUUUAACUGGACAAGGGACUCUGGACUGAUUGGAAGCCUGCUCUUCUUUCUUAAGGUGAUCAGUCUGCUAUAGAAGAAAUGGGGUUAACGAACAAGAGUGAGGAAGAACAACACCUCAAGCCCAACAACUCUGAUGUAGCCAAUGAAGAUCAAGAAGAAAUUCAACAAUUAGAAGAGGC
Molecule: long non-coding RNA, 692 nt
Organism: Dipodomys spectabilis (banner-tailed kangaroo rat)
Lineage: Eukaryota; Metazoa; Chordata; Mammalia; Rodentia; Heteromyidae
Exons: 3
Source: RefSeq, a predicted model, not a curated record